ACUCCUACGGGAGGCAGCAGUGGGGAAUAUUGGACAAUGGGCGAAAGCCUGAUCCAGCCAUGCCGCGUGUGUGAAGAAGGUCUUCGGAUUGUAAAGCACUUUAAGUUGGGAGGAAGGGCAGUAAAUUAAUACUUUGCUGUUUUGACGUUACCGACAGAAUAAGCACCGGCUAACUCUGUGCCAGCAGCCGCGGUAAUACAGAGGGUGCAAGCGUUAAUCGGAAUUACUGGGCGUAAAGCGCGCGUAGGUGGUUCGUUAAGUUGGAUGUGAAAUCCCCGGGCUCAACCUGGGAACUGCAUUCAAAACUGACGAGCUAGAGUAUGGUAGAGGGUGGUGGAAUUUCCUGUGUAGCGGUGAAAUGCGUAGAUAUAGGAAGGAACACCAGUGGCGAAGGCGACCACCUGGACUGAUACUGACACUGAGGUGCGAAAGCGUGGGGAGCAAACAGGAUUANAUACCCUGGUAGUCCACGCCGUAAACNAUGUCAACUANCCNUUGGGAGCCUUGAGCUCUUANUGGCGCANCUAACGCAUUAANUUGACCGCCUGGGGAGUACGGCCGCAAGGUUAAAACUCANANGAAUUGACNG
This 589-nucleotide ribosomal RNA is filed under the name uncultured bacterium. Its description in RNAcentral is "bacterial SSU rRNA". It matches the Rfam family "Bacterial small subunit ribosomal RNA", at positions 335 to 916 of the family's 1533-position model. The record is from RNAcentral.